Molecule: ribosomal RNA, 301 nt
Filed under: uncultured bacterium
Lineage: Bacteria
Description: partial 16S ribosomal RNA
Rfam family: Bacterial small subunit ribosomal RNA
Source: RNAcentral
CAGCAGCCGCGGGAAUACGAAGGGUGCAAGCGUUACUCGGAACUACUGGGCGUAAAGCGUGCGUAGGUGUGGUUUAAGUCCGUUGUGAAAGCCCUGGGCUCAACCUGGGAAUUGCAGUGGAUACUGGGUCACUAGAGUGUGGUAGAGGAUAGUGGAAUUUCCGGUGUAGCAGUGAAAUGCGUAGAGAUCGGAAGGAACAUCUGUGGCGAAGGCGACUAUCUGGGCCAACACUGACGCUCAUGCACGAAAGCGUGGGGAGCAAACAGGAUUAGAUACCCCGGUAGUCCCUGUCUCUUAUACA